GAUGAACGCUGGCGGCGUGCCUAAUACAUGCAAGUCGAGCGAACGGACGAGAAGCUUGCUUCUCUGAGGUUAGCGGCGGACGGGUGAGUAACACGUGGAUAACCUACCUAUAAGACUGGGAUAACUUCGGGAAACCGGAGCUAAUACCGGAUAAUAUUUUGAACCGCAUGGUUCAAAAGUGAAAGACGGUUUUGCCGUCACUUAUAGAUGGAUCCGCGCUGCAUUAGCUAGUUGGUAAGGUAACGGCCUACCAAGGCAACGAUGCAUAGCCGACCUGAGAGGGUGAUCGGCCACACUGGAACUGAGACACGGUCCAGACUCCUACGGGAGGCAGCAGUAGGGAAUCUUCCGCAAUGGGCGAAAGCCUGACGCAGCAACGCCGCGUGAGUGAUGAAGGUCUUCGGAUUGUAAAGCCCUGUUAUUGGGGAAGAACAGAUGUGUAUGUAACUGUGCCCGUCUUGACGGUACCUAAACAGAAAGCCCCGGCUAACUACGUG
Molecule: ribosomal RNA, 497 nt
Filed under: uncultured bacterium
Lineage: Bacteria
Description: partial 16S ribosomal RNA
Rfam family: Bacterial small subunit ribosomal RNA
Source: RNAcentral